AUUGAACGCUGGCGGCAGGCCUAACACAUGCAAGUCGAGCGGCAGCACUUCGGGUGGCGAGCGGCGGACGGGUGAGUAACACGUAGGAAUCUACCUAGUAGUGGGGGAUAGCCCGGGGAAACUCGGAUUAAUACCGCAUACGCUCUACGGAGGAAAGGGGGCUUCGGCUCUCGCUAUUAGAUGAGCCUGCGUCGGAUUAGCUAGUUGGUGAGGUAAAGGCUCACCAAGGCGACGAUCCGUAACUGGUCUGAGAGGAUGAUCAGUCACACUGGAACUGAGACACGGUCCAGACUCCUACGGGAGGCAGCAGUGGGGAAUAUUGGACAAUGGGGGAAACCCUGAUCCAGCCAUGCCGCGUGUGUGAAGAAGGCCUUCGGGUUGUAAAGCACUUUCAGUUGGGAGGAAAAGUUUGUGGUUAAUACCCACGAGCCGUGACGUUACCAACAGAAGAAGCACCGGCUAACUCCGUG
RNAcentral lists this ribosomal RNA (470 nucleotides) under uncultured bacterium. Its description in RNAcentral is "bacterial SSU rRNA". It matches the Rfam family "Bacterial small subunit ribosomal RNA", at positions 30 to 507 of the family's 1533-position model. The record is from RNAcentral.